CCUACGGGUGGCAGCAGUCGAGAAUCAUUCACAAUGGGGGAAACCCUGAUGGUGCGACGCCGCGUGGGGGAAUGAAGGUCUUCGGAUUGUAAACCCCUGUCAUGUGGGAGCAAAUUAAAAAGAUAGUACCACAAGAGGAAGAGACGGCUAACUCUGUGCCAGCAGCCGCGGUAAUACAGAGGUCUCAAGAGUUGUUCGGAAUCACUGGGCGUAAAGCGUGCGUAGGCUGUUUCGUAAGUCGUGUGUGAAAGGCGCGGGCUCAACCCGCGGACGGCACAUGAUACUGCGAGACUAGAGUGAUGGAGGGGGAACCGGAAUUCUCGGUGUAGCAGUGAAAUGCGUAGAUAUCGAGAGGAACACUCGUGGCGAAGGCGGGUUCCUGGACAUUAACUGACGCUGAGGCACGAAGGCCAGGGGAGCGAAAGGGAUUAGAUACCCGAGUAGUC
RNAcentral lists this ribosomal RNA (446 nucleotides) under uncultured bacterium. RNAcentral's name for it is "partial 16S ribosomal RNA". It matches the Rfam family "Bacterial small subunit ribosomal RNA", at positions 338 to 795 of the family's 1533-position model. The record is from RNAcentral.